UGAGGUGAGAUCCUGUCGUUUCUCACGCAAGGUACUGCCAAGCGUUUGAGCGGCGGGCGCAUCACCGGCCCGUCCCAUGGCGUGGACACGGUCUUCGGGCUGUGCACCGUCGGGGCGGAGCAUGAGCGCACAUGUUGAGACCCGAAAGAUGGUGAACUAUGCUUGCGCAGGUUGAAGCCAGAGGAAACUCUGGUGGAGGACCGCAGCGAUUCUGACGUGCAAAUCGAUCGUCAAACGUGAGUAUAGGGGCGAAAGACUAAUCGAACCAUCUAGUAGCUGGUUCCCUCCGAAGUUUCCCUCAGGAUAGCUGGCAUUCAGAUAUACAAACAGUUUUAUCCGGUAAAGCGAAUGAUUAGAGGCAUUGGGGGCGAAACGUCCUCAACCUAUUCUCAAACUUUAAAUGGGUGAGAAGCUUGACUCGCGUGAAUGGAGUCUGGCCUUGAAUGUGAGUGCCAAGUGGGCCAUUUUUGGUAAGCAGAACUGGCGCUGUGGGAUGAACCAAACGUUCGGUUAAGGUGCCUAACACGACGCUCAUCAGAUACCACAAAAGGUGUUGGUUGGUCUAGACAGCAGGACGGUGGCCAUGGAAGUCGGAAUCCGCUAAGGAGUGUGUAACAACUCACCUGCCGAAUCAACCAGCCCUGAAAAUGGAUGGCGCUGGAGCGUCGGACCUAUACCGGACCGUCACUGCAAGCUGGAU
Molecule: ribosomal RNA, 700 nt
Filed under: Cotylophoron cotylophoron
Lineage: Eukaryota; Metazoa; Platyhelminthes; Trematoda; Plagiorchiida; Paramphistomidae
Description: eukaryotic LSU rRNA
Rfam family: Eukaryotic large subunit ribosomal RNA
Source: RNAcentral